GCCAAUUUAGCUCAGUGGUAGAGCAUUCGCCUUGUAAGCGAACGGUCAUCGGUUCAAGUCCGAUAAUUGGCUCCA
Molecule: transfer RNA, 75 nt
Filed under: Candidatus Altimarinota bacterium
Lineage: Bacteria; Candidatus Altimarinota
Description: tRNA-Thr
Rfam family: tRNA
About the family: Transfer RNA (tRNA) molecules are approximately 80 nucleotides in length.
Source: RNAcentral